UAGGGAAUCUUCGGCAAUGGACGAAAGUCUGACCGAGCAACGCCGCGUGAGUGAAGAAGGUUUUCGGAUCGUAAAACUCUGUUGUUAGAGAAGAACAAGGACGUUAGUAACUGAACGUCCCCUGACGGUAUCUAACCAGAAAGCCACGACUAACUACGUGCCAGCAGCCGCGGUAAUACGUAGGUGGCAAGCGUUGUCCGGAUUUAUUGGGCGUAAAGCGAGCGCAGGCGGUUUCUUAAGUCUGAUGUGAAAGCCCCCGGCUCAACCGGGGAAGGUCAUUGGAAACUGGGGGACUUGAGUGCAGAAGAGGAGAGUGGAAUUCCAUGUGUAGCGGUGAAAUGCGUAGAUAUAUGGAGGAACGCCAGUGGCGAAGGCGGCUCGCUGGUCUGUAACUGACGCUGAGGCUCGAAAGCGUGGGGAGCAAACAGG
RNAcentral lists this ribosomal RNA (429 nucleotides) under Gemmatimonadota bacterium. RNAcentral describes it as "Gemmatimonadetes bacterium partial 16S ribosomal RNA". It matches the Rfam family "Bacterial small subunit ribosomal RNA", at positions 355 to 776 of the family's 1533-position model. The record is from RNAcentral. Lineage: Bacteria; Pseudomonadati; Gemmatimonadota.